AGCUGUGGUGGCCUAAUGGUUGGCAUGCUGGACUCCGUAUCGAGUGGUCCAGGUUCAAGCCCUGGCUGGGUUC
Non-coding RNA from Desmophyllum pertusum, 73 nucleotides. NCBI's taxonomy places the organism in Eukaryota, Metazoa, Cnidaria, Anthozoa, Scleractinia, Caryophylliidae. The record is from the annotation of a GenBank genome assembly.